Molecule: ribosomal RNA, 245 nt
Filed under: uncultured Sporobacter sp.
Lineage: Bacteria; Bacillati; Bacillota; Clostridia; Eubacteriales; Oscillospiraceae
Description: partial 16S ribosomal RNA
Rfam family: Bacterial small subunit ribosomal RNA
Source: RNAcentral
UACGUAGGUGGCAAGCGUUGUCCGGAUUUACUGGGUGUAAAGGGCGCGUAGGCGGGAGAUCAAGUCAGAUGUGAAAUGUCGGGGCUCAACCCCGGAACUGCAUUUGAAACUGAACUUCUUGAGUAUCGGAGAGGCAGGCGGAAUUCCUAGUGUAGCGGUGAAAUGCGUAGAUAUUAGGAGGAACACCAGUGGCGAAGGCGGCCUGCUGGACGACAACUGACGCUGAGGCGCGAAAGCGUGGGGAG